RNAcentral lists this ribosomal RNA (292 nucleotides) under uncultured bacterium. RNAcentral describes it as "partial 16S ribosomal RNA". It matches the Rfam family "Bacterial small subunit ribosomal RNA", at positions 505 to 796 of the family's 1533-position model. The record is from RNAcentral.
GUGCCAGCCGCCGCGGUAAUACGGAGGAUGCAAGCGUUAUCCGGAAUGAUUGGGCGUAAAGCGUCUGUAGGUGGUUUAUUAAGUCUACUGUUAAAGAUCAGGGCUUAACCCUGAGCCGGCAGUGGAAACUAAUAAGCUUGAGUACGGUAGGGGCAGAGGGAAUUCCCGGUGUAGCGGUGAAAUGCGUAGAGAUCGGGAAGAACACCAAUGGCGAAAGCACUCUGCUGGGCCGAAACUGACACUGAGAGACGAAAGCUAGGGGAGCGAAUGGGAUUAGAUACCCCCGUAGUCC